RNAcentral lists this ribosomal RNA (969 nucleotides) under Triticum aestivum (bread wheat). RNAcentral describes it as "partial small subunit ribosomal RNA". The record is from RNAcentral. Lineage: Eukaryota; Viridiplantae; Streptophyta; Magnoliopsida; Poales; Poaceae.
AUGGCUUGGACGGCCGCGGCCUCCCUGUGCUGCCGUCUCGUCCGCGCGGCCCCCGUCCGUCGCUGCGCUCGGCGCCGGACCUUGUGCUCCGCCGCGCGGAGCACCGACGCGGUGGACAGGGAGUACGCGGACCUCAAUCUCCGCCCCCUCUACCCCAAUGUCCGCCCCAACCCCACCUAUCCUAUCCUCCCAGUCUUCAACCUCCGUCUCCUUUUCGAAAUAGCGUACCAGCCUGACCACCCACCCACCAAUUGGUUUUGGUGUAUGCAGCGGGGCCAUCACCUUCGCAUCCGGCAGCACGUGAAUCCGCUCAGCGCCUUGUUCGUCGAGCCCACGGAGCCGCCUGAAUGGACGGAGGUGUUCGAGGAUCCCCUGCUGCCCCUCAUGGUCGACAUCGGCUGCGGGAGUGGGAGAUUCUUGGUUUGGUUAGCAAAGAACUCCGGUGAAAGGCGGAAUUACCUCGGACUGGAAAUCCGGCAGAAGUUGGUCGAGCGGACACAGUUCUGGGUGACAGAAUUGGGGCUUAGAAAUGUUUACUUUAUGUUUGCAAAUGCAACGGUGUCUUUCGAGCAAAUUGUGUCAUCAUACCCUGGUCCCCUAUCACUUGUUUCAAUACUGUGUCCUGAUCCUCACUUUAAGAAAAGGCAUCACAAGCGAAGAGUUCUACAGACACCAUUGGUCGAUUCAAUCACAAAGAACCUUUGUCUGGGUGGGCGGGUGCUUGUACAAUCAGAUGUGCUUGAUGUGGCUACAGACAUGAGAGAAAGGUUUGAUGGAUACUCGGAUGUGUUUGAGCAUGCUGAUCGUAUUGAUAAAGAUCUUCAGUGCGACAAUGAAGGUUGGCUUCUGGACAACCCUAUGGGAAUACGGACGGAGAGGGAAAUCCAUGCUGAGCUCGAAGGAGCGACCAUAUACAGGAGGAUGUACCAAAAGACAAGAUGUUUCUUGCCAGAUUACUCCAUCAGUUAA